UUUUAUUUUUACUAUAGAUGCACUUGUGCCUCCCAGGCUCAAAAUGCACUUGUGCCUUUUUUUUUUGAAAAAAAAAGAUCUGUACAAUUUAUUCAUAUUUUGGCUUUUUGUCUUAAAUAGCAAAUAGUGAUGACCAGUGAUGAUGAGGCCCAGAGGAUUACUAAGAGGCCAAUUUGAUGGCGAUGCCAGGCAUGCUAGACUGAUUUGGCUCGUGGAUAUAUGAUGCAUUUUACUGCAAUGCUACCAUGGUAGGAGUGAAAGGGGAUUACAGAGAUUUGUGCCUCCCGCUCCACGGUUGAUUUGUGUGGGUAAGAAGAGCUCCAUCUCACCAUCUGGAACUCGAUUCCGACGGAGGUGAGCUUCCUGAGCGAGGUAUGGAGAGAACUCCAGUUUCUUUAUCUGUUCAAAAGACAGACAUUUAAUGAGUUGUUUGCAUUGCAUGAGUGACAACAUUGAUGAGCAAUGCAAGCUGCUGCUAGAUGUGAAUGUUCAAGGUUGCUCAAAAAUUAUACAGAGAUACUGAACAAUUCAAGUGUUUUGAAGACGAGAACUUUUGGUGCAUCUUAGGCGGCCUCUGCUUUGAUAUUUUGAAGGCAUAUUCAUAUAUACCUCUUAUUUGUUCCCAAUGUUUGCAGAGGCAAUCCAUGUGAAGGAUAUUGAACAAUCAAAUUUGCAGGAGAAAAAUCAGAGCUGAAUUAUGCUUUCGAACCUCAUCUAUGUGUGAGAUUUGUCAUCUACAAAGCUUUCAACAUCUGUGCCAUAAAUGCAACUAUUGGGUCUGUUUCUUUAUAGUGGAUAUAACAUCUGAAGAUACCACUUUUUGAAUUGCAUUCUAUACUGAAAUUCACUAAUUCAUUGUUGAUGGUGGAGAGACAUUGCUCGAUGCUAUCACGGCUGGUGACCAACUUAAUAUGGACAUUCAAAUGGAGGAAGGAAAUUUUACUC
This is a long non-coding RNA of Panicum virgatum (switchgrass), 945 nucleotides long. RefSeq lists it as uncharacterized. The transcript is spliced from 6 exons. The record is from RefSeq and is a predicted model, not a curated record. Lineage: Eukaryota; Viridiplantae; Streptophyta; Magnoliopsida; Poales; Poaceae.